This 1358-nucleotide ribosomal RNA is filed under the name uncultured bacterium. RNAcentral's name for it is "bacterial SSU rRNA". It matches the Rfam family "Bacterial small subunit ribosomal RNA", at positions 28 to 1393 of the family's 1533-position model. The record is from RNAcentral.
GAUGAACGCUGGCGGCGUGCUUAACACAUGCAAGUCGAACGAUGAAGCCCAGCUUGCUGGGUGGAUUAGUGGCGAACGGGUGAGUAACACGUGAGUAACCUGCCCCUGACUCUGGGAUAAGCCCGGGAAACUGGGUCUAAUACUGGAUAUGACCUGUCACCGCAUGGUGGUGGGUGGAAAGAUUUUUUGGUUGGGGAUGGACUCGCGGCCUAUCAGCUUGUUGGUGAGGUAGUGGCUCACCAAGGCGACGACGGGUAGCCGGCCUGAGAGGGUGACCGGCCACACUGGGACUGAGACACGGCCCAGACUCCUACGGGAGGCAGCAGUGGGGAAUAUUGCACAAUGGGCGCAAGCCUGAUGCAGCGACGCCGCGUGAGGGAUGACGGCCUUCGGGUUGUAAACCUCUUUCAGUAGGGAAGAAGCCUUUGGGUGACGGUACCUGCAGAAGAAGCGCCGGCUAACUACGUGCCAGCAGCCGCGGUAAUACGUAGGGCGCAAGCGUUAUCCGGAUUUAUUGGGCGUAAAGAGCUCGUAGGCGGUUUGUCGCGUCUGCCGUGAAAGUCCGGGGCUUAACUCCGGAUCUGCGGUGGGUACGGGGCAGACUAGAGUGCAGUAGGGGAGACUGGGAAUUCCUGGUGUAGCGGUGAAAUGCGCAGAUAUCAGGAGGAACACCGAUGGCGAAGGCAGGUCUCUGGGCUGUAACUGACGCUGAGGAGCGAAAGCAUGGGGAGCGAACAGGAUUAGAUACCCUGGUAGUCCAUGCCGUAAACGUUGGGCACUAGGUGUGGGGGACAUUCCACGUUUUCCGCGCCGUAGCUAACGCAUUAAGUGCCCCGCCUGGGGAGUACGGCCGCAAGGCUAAAACUCAAAGGAAUUGACGGGGGCCCGCACAAGCGGCGGAGCAUGCGGAUUAAUUCGAUGCAACGCGAAGAACCUUACCAAGGCUUGACAUGGACUGGAUCGCCGCAGAGAUGUGGUUUCCCUUCGGGGCUGGUUCACAGGUGGUGCAUGGUUGUCGUCAGCUCGUGUCGUGAGAUGUUGGGUUAAGUCCCGCAACGAGCGCAACCCUCGUUCCAUGUUGCCAGCGGGUUAUGCCGGGGACUCAUGGGAGACUGCCGGGGUCAACUCGGAGGAAGGUGAGGACGACGUCAAAUCAUCAUGCCCCUUAUGUCUUGGGCUUCACGCAUGCUACAAUGGCCGGUACAAAGGGUUGCGAUACUGUGAGGUGGAGCUAAUCCCAAAAAGCCGGUCUCAGUUCGGAUUGGGGUCUGCAACUCGACCCCAUGAAGUCGGAGUCGCUAGUAAUCGCAGAUCAGCAACGCUGCGGUGAAUACGUCCCCGGGCCUUGUACACACCGC